GAUGAAGAACGCAGCGAAAUGCGAUACGUAGUGUGAAUUGCAGAAUCCAGUGAAUCAUCGAAUCUUUGAACGCACAUUGCGCCCGCCAGUAUUCUGGCGGGCAUGCCUGUUCGAGCGUCAUUUCAACCAUCAAGCCCCCGGCUUGUGUUGGGGACCUGCGGCUGCCGCAGGCCCUGAAAAGCAGUGGCGGGCUCGCUGUCACACCGAGCGUAGUAGCAUACAUCUCGCUCUGGGCGUGCUGCGGGUUCCGGCCGUUAAACCACCUUCAUAACCCAAGGUUGACCUCGGAUCAGGUAGGAAGACCCGCUGAACUUAAGCAUAUCAAUAAGCGGAGGA
This 336-nucleotide unclassified non-coding RNA is filed under the name soil metagenome. RNAcentral describes it as "partial contains 5.8S ribosomal RNA, internal transcribed spacer 2, and large subunit ribosomal RNA". The stretch from base 1 to 120 matches the Rfam family "5.8S ribosomal RNA", at positions 35 to 154 of the family's 154-position model. The record is from RNAcentral.